This 253-nucleotide ribosomal RNA is filed under the name uncultured bacterium. Its description in RNAcentral is "partial 16S ribosomal RNA". It matches the Rfam family "Bacterial small subunit ribosomal RNA", at positions 524 to 776 of the family's 1533-position model. The record is from RNAcentral.
UACAGAGGGGGCAAGCGUUGUUCGGAAUUACUGGGCGUAAAGGGCGCGUAGGCGGCAAUUCAAGUCAUCUGUGAAAUCUCCGAGCUUAACUCGGAACGGUCAGAUGAUACUGCUUUGCUAGAGUGCAGAAGGGGCAACCGGAAUUCUUGGUGUAGCGGUGAAAUGCGUAGAUAUCAAGAGGAACACCGGAGGUGAAGACGGGUUGCUGGGCUGACACUGACGCUGAGGCGCGAAAGCUAGGGUAGCAAACGGG